This is a non-coding RNA of Tetranychus urticae (two-spotted spider mite), 2100 nucleotides long. The record is from RefSeq and is a predicted model, not a curated record. NCBI's taxonomy places the organism in Eukaryota, Metazoa, Arthropoda, Arachnida, Trombidiformes, Tetranychidae.
UUUUUAAGGCUGAUUGUAUUAUGAAGUUUUGUCCAGAUAACAAUAAGGAAAUAUCUUGCUUGCUUGCCAGUCAUUUAUUUAUUUACCUUAUUAUUAGAUGAUUUAAUUCAAAUUUUUGGCUUUGCUUCGGUUAAUGUCGUGCAAUUACAUUAAACACUGUCUACCAUUCGUAUAAAAGAUUUACUAGCUUUUCAUUUAGAUUGUAAAUUGUACAUCAACACUUUGGUUUCAACGGACAUUAAUGCAAAGCCAUUUUCAACAUCAUCUGUUUAGUCUAUAUCACAUCCAAACGAUGAUGGCAGCUACAUGAUGUUUUGAUCACAUAAAGCGGUAACCUGAUCAGAUGAGUUCGAUUAAGGUUGGAUUACUGAUAAAAAUGAAAAACAAACCAAUCAUGAUUUUGAAGCUGGUAAUUGAAUAAUUAUCCACACAAAUAAUGAUAAUGGCUUGAAGAAGUCAAACAGGCGAUGUCAAUAGGAAAAAAAGCAAAAGAGAUUCAAGAUUUUUUAGGAUAUAAAGAGAGAGUGAAAGAGUGUCAACAAUUCAAUUUAACCUGGUUUUGAUGGUUUCUCCAAUCAACUGUCAAAGUGCCCUUUACAUGAUCGAUCCUGUUUUUGUCGCUUUCAUUUCAACUUUCAUUGGAUUACCAAUUUUUAUGGGGAAACAUCUAAUAUCCAAACAAGGCGUCAUUAGUGUUUUAUUUGAUAAACAUCUAACUGUGAUCAGUAAACGUUGGUUGACGGUUUCAGGGUGAUCCUCAUUUGAAACGCUAAUGGUAAAUCAAAUCAGUUUUGCAAUCGAUUGGUCAGUCAAGCAAAAGCAACAGGAAUUAGGGAAAUGACUGUAUAGACCAAUAAGAAGACCCUACUGGCCAAGUAAUCAACAAAUAAUCAACUCUUUUAGGUCAAAUUAGUCAGGUCAAUGUCCUCCUUACAUGUUGACAACUCUAAGUUGAUUACAAUUUAAUAUAUUAAUAAGUAUCUCUUUUUUUGCUGCAGUUGUCUAUUCUUCCAAUUUGCUGUUGUAUUGAUGUACCAGGCAUUGGUUUUUUGGGUUCAGAAUGGAAGAGAAACAUGACAACACGAAAAUGAUGGUAAUGGUGAUGACAGUGUGAGAUGAUUCAAGAUGAAGUGAAACUACCAGAUUGAAUUUAUGAACCAAAAGAGAUUGAUAAUGAAGAGCCAAAAUAAUCAACAACGAAUUCUGGAGACAAUUAAAUUUGUAAAUUGAAGCCUUGAAUGAUACAGAAAUAAGUCUUGAAAUUGAACGCAAUCAAUGGAUCUGGGUUGACCAGUAACUCAAGCUAAUACAAAACAGCAUGAGUACAGUCCUGAUUUGUUUUACAUCCUCAGCAUACUCUUCAUUUGGCUCUUCACUUUGCUCUUCAUCUUACUCUUGAUAGUAUUUUUAAAGGUAAAAUUUGGUACAAUUUACUCUUGGAAUGGAAUAAAAGGUUUAAAGGUUAAUUCAUAAUGGAUGCAACUUGUUGAGAAUAAUGAAAAAGAAAUGAGAAUUGAUGGCGAACAAGAAAAAGUAAAAUUUCUCUUCUUGAGAAUGGAUCAAUUGAAGAAGGCUUAAAGUAUCUCAAAUGAGCAGACAAGAAAGAAGUGAUCUCUAAAAAUUAGAUGAACUGUUAAUAAUAAUGGAAGCUGAUGAUUUAAAAUGGUUAAAAUAAUAAUCACAAUAAUACCAAUAAUGAUUCAAGAUAAUCACCUUUUUAUUUAUAUCGUCCAUCUAUUGCAAUCUAUUGGUUCAUUGAUUGACGGAAAAAGGUUGAUCUUUCAACGGAAUGACCUUUAUCUUUUAUCUUUCUUUCAUUCCAAGAUUCAUUAGAUGAUUAUUCCUGAGUUGAAUCACUUUUCACUUUUAUUUGUUUGAUUAUAAUUAUAAUGAUAAUUUUCACCUAUCACCUGACUGAUAGCAAUGAACAAAAUUAGAUUUGAAAACAGUACUGGCUUGAUAACUUAUAAUCAAAUGUUACUUCCUUGUCUUUACAUUUGUUUUGCAUUUUAUUUACCUAUUGACUUAUAUCUUUUGUACCAACUGAUUGAAAACCGACUCUUGUAUUACAACAAUUAAACAUCCGAAGUCCAUUUUCAA